Molecule: ribosomal RNA, 434 nt
Filed under: uncultured bacterium
Lineage: Bacteria
Description: bacterial SSU rRNA
Rfam family: Bacterial small subunit ribosomal RNA
Source: RNAcentral
GACGAACGCUGGCGGCGCGCUUAACACAUGCAAGUCGAACGGAGCGAACGGGAUGAAGCCUUCGGGCGGAAUUCCGUGAGCUUAGUGGCGAACGGGUGAGUAACGCGUGAGCAACCGGUCCCAAAGAGGGGGACAACUUUGAGAAAUCAAGGCUAAUACCGCGUAAGACCACACUGCCGCAUGGCAGAGGGGUCAAAGGAGAAAUCCGCUUUGGGGAGGGCUCGCGUCUGAUUAGGUAGUUGGUGAGGUAACGGCUCACCAAGCCGACGAUCAGUAGCCGUGCUGAGAGGCAGGCCGGCCACACUGGAACUGAGACACGGUCCAGACUCCUACGGGAGGCAGCAGUGGGGAAUCUUGGGCAAUGGGGGAAACCCUGACCCAGCGACGCCGCGUGAGGGAAGAAGGUCUUCGGAUUGUAAACCUUUGUGACAGGG